Molecule: ribosomal RNA, 433 nt
Filed under: uncultured bacterium
Lineage: Bacteria
Description: bacterial SSU rRNA
Rfam family: Bacterial small subunit ribosomal RNA
Source: RNAcentral
GCGCCCCGCGAAGGGGAGCGGCGGACGGGCGAGUAAUGCCUAGGAAUCUGCCUAGUGGUGGGGAUAACGUUCGGAAACGGACGCUAAUACCCGCAUACGUCCUACGGGAGAAAGCGGGGGAUCUUCGGACCUCGCGCCAUUAGAUGAGCCUAGGUCGGAUUAGCUAGUUGGUGAGGUAAUGGCUCACCAAGGCGACGAUCCGUAACUGGUCUGAGAGGAUGAUCAGUCACACUGGAACUGAGACACGGUCCAGACUCCUACGGGAGGCAGCAGUGGGGAAUAUUGGACAAUGGGCGAAAGCCGGAUCCAGCCAUGCCGCGUGUGUGAAGAAGGUCUUCGGAUUGUAAAGCACUUUAAGUUGGGAGGAAGGGUAGCAACCUAAUACGUUGCUACUUUGACGUUACCGACAGAAUAAGCACCGGCUAACUUCGUG